AUAAGACCCCAUGAACAAGUAAACAUCUAGAGGACAAAAUGAAUGUAAAAUGUAGAAGCGUUCAAUAGCGACGUCGCUUUUUGAUCCUUCGAUGUCGGUUCUUCCUAUUAUUGUGAAGCAAAAUUCACCAAGCGUUGGAUUGUUCACUUAUGCAAGAGAGCGUGGGCUGGAUUUAGACCGUCGUGAAACAUGUUAGUUU
RNAcentral lists this ribosomal RNA (199 nucleotides) under Megaselia scalaris. RNAcentral describes it as "eukaryotic large subunit ribosomal RNA". It matches the Rfam family "Eukaryotic large subunit ribosomal RNA", at positions 2405 to 2989 of the family's 3401-position model. The record is from Rfam by way of RNAcentral. Lineage: Eukaryota; Metazoa; Arthropoda; Insecta; Diptera; Phoridae.